Molecule: ribosomal RNA, 769 nt
Filed under: Aeromonas veronii
Lineage: Bacteria; Pseudomonadati; Pseudomonadota; Gammaproteobacteria; Aeromonadales; Aeromonadaceae
Description: partial 23S ribosomal RNA
Rfam family: Bacterial large subunit ribosomal RNA
Source: RNAcentral
GGGCGGGACACGUGACAUCCUGUCUGAAUAUGGGGGGACCAUCCUCCAAGGCUAAAUACUCCUGACUGACCGAUAGUGAACCAGUACCGUGAGGGAAAGGCGAAAAGAACCCCUGUGAGGGGAGUGAAAUAGAACCUGAAACCGUGUACGUACAAGCAGUGGGAGCCCUUCGGGGUGACUGCGUACCUUUUGUAUAAUGGGUCAGCGACUUACAUUUUGUAGCGAGGUUAACCGUAUAGGGGAGCCGUAGGGAAACCGAGUCUUAACUGGGCGUCUAGUUGCAAGGUGUAGACCCGAAACCGGGUGAUCUAGCCAUGGGCAGGUUGAAGGUUGAGUAACAUCAACUGGAGGACCGAACCCACUAACGUUGCAAAGUUAGGGGAUGACCUGUGGCUGGGGGUGAAAGGCCAAUCAAACUCGGAGAUAGCUGGUUCUCCCCGAAAGCUAUUUAGGUAGCGCCUCGGACGAAUACUACUGGGGGUAGAGCACUGUUUGGGCUAGGGGGUCAUCCCGACUUACCAACCCCAUGCAAACUCCGAAUACCAGUAAGUAAUAUCCGGGAGACACACGGCGGGUGCUAACGUCCGUCGUGAAGAGGGAAACAACCCAGACCGCCGGCUAAGGUCCCAAAGUUCUGGUUAAGUGGGAAACGAUGUGGGAAGGCUCAGACAGCUAGGAUGUUGGCUUAGAAGCAGCCAUCAUUUAAAGAAAGCGUAAUAGCUCACUAGUCGAGUCGGCCUGCGCGGAAGAUGUAACGGGGCUCAAACCA